UAGAACUUACUGUUUUUUAAAAGGGGAUGUUUUAUUUUAGUUUCUAGAGACAUUCUGGUAGAUACUGAGAAACAUACCACAGUAUCUAGCCUAUAAAUGAUAAAGGGUUAGAAUGGCACUCCUUUAAAUAUUCUUUUUUAAUAAUAGAUUUUAUUUUUAGAGCAAUUUUAGGUUCACAAAGAAUUCCUAUAUAGCCUCCAUUUCCUCAUUUGUACACCAUACCAAUUUGUUACAACUGAUGAACCUCUAUUGACACACUAUAACUACCCAAAAUUCAUGGUUUAUGUUAGGGUUCUAAGUAGUGUAUAUUCAUUCUAUGGGUUUUGGCAGAUGUAUCCUGACAUGUAUCCACCAAUAUGAGUUGUACCGAAUACUUUCACUGCCCUAAAAAUCCUGUGUUCUACCUAUUCAUCCCCUAUCCCCCAUCCUUGGCCAUCCCUAUGGAACUUUACCGUCUCCAUAGUUUUGCCUUUUCCCGUAAAUCAUGUAGUGGGAAUCAUACAGCAUGAUUAUCUUCUUUCAUUUGGUAAUACAUACUAAACUUUCCCCCGUGUCUUUUCAGUGGCUUGCUAGAUAAUUUCUUUUAGUGCUGAAUAGUAUUCCAUUGUUUGGAGGUAACACACGGUAUUUACCCACUCACCUACUGAAGGACAUCUUGCUGAUUUCCAAGCGUUGGCCAUAAGGAACGCAGCUGCAUCCCUGUGCGGUUUUGGUGUAGAUAUAAAUUUUCAAUUCACGGGGGGUAAACGCUAGAGUACCAUUGCUGGAUGAUAGGGUAAGAGUCUGUUUAAUUUGGUAAAGAUCUACCAAACUGUCUUCCUAAGCAUGUACCAUUUUGUAGUCCUACUAGCAAAGAAGGAGAGUUCUUGUUGCUCCACAUCCUCACCAAUUUUUGGUGUUUUCAUUGUGCCAUUCUUAUAGGUGCAUCUCAUUGUUGUUUUAAUCUGUGGUUAUCUAAUGACAUAUGAUGCUGGACAUCUUUUCAUAUGCUUACUUGCCAUCUGAUUAUCUUCUCUGGUGACACAUCUAUUCAGGUGUUUGCCUGUUCUUAAGUGGACUGUUCACUUUUCUUAUUGUUGAGUCUCAUGAAUUUGCUGUAGAUCUAGGAUAAUAGUCCUUUGUUAGAUGCCUUUUAAAAAUAUUUUUUUGCAGUCUGUGGC
Molecule: long non-coding RNA, 1160 nt
Filed under: Marmota monax (woodchuck)
Lineage: Eukaryota; Metazoa; Chordata; Mammalia; Rodentia; Sciuridae
Source: RNAcentral